Molecule: ribosomal RNA, 367 nt
Filed under: uncultured organism
Description: bacterial SSU rRNA
Rfam family: Bacterial small subunit ribosomal RNA
Source: RNAcentral
CGGAGGGUGCAAGCGUUAUCCGGAUUCACUGGGUUUAAAGGGUGCGUAGGUGGGCAAGUAAGUCAGUGGUGAAAUCUCCGGGCUUAACCCGGAAACUGCCAUUGAUACUAUUUGUCUUGAAUACUGUGGAGGUCAGCGGAAUAUGUCAUGUAGCGGUGAAAUGCUUAGAUAUGACAUAGAACACCAAUUGCGAAGGCAGCUGGCUACACAAAUAUUGACACUGAGGCACGAAAGCGUGGGGAUCAAACAGGAUUAGAUACCCUGGUAGUCCACGCCCUAAACUAUGGAUACUCGACAUUUGCGAUAAACUGCAAGUGUCUGAGCGAAAGCAUUAAGAUCCCACCUGGGAAGUACGAUCGCAAGAUUG